Molecule: non-coding RNA, 120 nt
Organism: Caenorhabditis elegans
Lineage: Eukaryota; Metazoa; Nematoda; Chromadorea; Rhabditida; Rhabditidae
Source: Ensembl
ACAGUGACAGACGGGAGAGUAUGCGACUGUUUGGGAGGGCCAGCCGUUUGUAGACGAUCUGCUGUGACCGCAUAAGCAGAACGAGGCCCCGAAUAGUGCGCAGAGAAAUUGCUGUGCUCG